CCACUAGACUGGAAGCUCUGUGACAAUAUCAAGGUGUCUGCUCUGUUCAUUGUAUCUGGCACCCAGCACAGUGGCAACAAAUAGAAGGCAUACUCACUACCUAUUUGUUGAAGUUUAAAUUCCAUGAUUCUAAAAUAUAUUUCAGACAGUUUCUUCAUCAUGAAACUGCUGAAAUGGAAUCGACAACCAUCAGACAUACUUUUUCAACAAAUUAAGGGAACAGCUCCAAUAAGUAACAAGGACUUACUGAAUAGCACAGGGAAAGUUACUCAAUAUUCUGUAAUAACCCACUAAGGAAAAGGAUCUGAGGAAGAAUGGAUACAUGUACCUGUAUAAUUGAUUCACUUUGUUGUACACUCAUGCAACAAUCAUCAAUGAAGCGUCAAGAGAGAAAAAAGGCACACGUGAUACAUCCUAAUCAGUAACAUUAUUGUUUGAUUUGACCCCCAAAGCAAUCUCACCUCACAUUUCCACACAUGCUGAAAAAUAUUUGAAAUGAAAAUCAUGAAGUAUCAAAAAUAUGUUUAGAGAGACUAUGAUUAUUUCACUGAAUAAAUGUUUUAUAGAGUAAUUUCUUAAAUUUGAUGAAGUUAUUGGGGGCCAUUUGCUGUUCCUACGUGGGAAGUUUAUUUUUAAUGGAAAGGUUUUCAGGACAGUCUGUUGUUGCAGACAUCGGUCAGUUGACUUAAUGCUAGCUGCUGCAACAAGUGAACAGCAAACUGUCAGCAAUCUGAUCCUAAGAGAAAUUUAACUUUCCUUUGUAUCAGAGCACCACACAGGCACUCCUGAUCAGAUGAAUUUUCUGAUUCGCUCUGCUCCAAACAAUGAUUUGAUGACAUGGGAACCUGCUAUUGUGUGGCCUUGGCAUAUUCUAUGUAUGACUUCAAAUUUCUCAAUAGUGUUCAGGUUUUUUUUUUUUUUUUUUUUUUCCUAGUUUCAGGAAAGGGAGUAAGUAUGGGGAUAGCAUGGGAUGUUUUCAAAGGCCAGGUCAGUACAGGGCAAUGUCAUUUCUGCUCACAUUAGUUGGCCUGAACUGAUGCUCUUAGGAAUCCAAUCCAGAGAAGUUUGGAAAUGAUUCUGUGACUAAUGUUAGUUGAGAAAAGUUCACUGAAUGAAAUCACCUUUCAUUUUACACUGUUUACAAUAAUGACAUUCUGGGUGGGAAAAAAACAACCAAUGUUUUUGUAUGAACACAGGUUUUAAAAAACAAUCUCAGCCAAGGUAUGAUUCCUUAAUAUCAACUUAGGUAUAUUGAUUUGGCUGCCACUCAUUAGAGUUCUAGCAUGACCGAUUCUGAGAGAAGGAUUCAGGUUGAUUCCCUAAGGCAUAGGCUAAUGAGGAAAAUAUCCCCACCUGUAGACCCAUUACAACUGGUUUCCUUUUUCCCUGGGGAGACAAGAAAACUAUGAUCAGGCAGCUCCUUGCAAGUCACUGAGGAUCACUGAACUAAAAGUGAGAGCGAGUGAGUAUUCCCUUUAAAUCCUGGCCUGAUUUUUAUCCUGAUCUUCUGAAUACUAAAAAUGCAAACUUGAAGAAAAUACUCUGGCAAAUAAUCUUCCAAAAAAUUCCUCGUAUGAUAUUCCAUUAUAACUUCCCUUGUAGAACCAUGAAGAGUUUAUAAAGUAUCUUUAUUGUCCUCUCACAUCACAUCUAUAUAACAUAUGUCGGUAUUAUUACCCCUCAUAUUAUACCAUGAUUGUUCCCUUCAUGAAUACUGACUGAGCUCCUGAAAUGAUAGGGGCUGGACUAGAUGUCUAGGAAUCAAGACAGACAUCUUGACUUGAUGACAGACAUCAGAUAGUUUCUCUCCCUUUAGGUAUUUUCUAGAUUCCGGGGAAAUAUUCUGAGGAGAAAAUAGUUCAGGUAAUGUCUUAGUCUACUCCUGUAAAGAGAAGAAAUGUUUUUCUCACAGUACUGGAGUCAGGAAAUCCAAGAUCAGGGUGUCAGUGUGGUCGGGUUCUGGCAAGAUCCUGCUUCAGGUCUCACACUGCAGAGUCUCCUGUAACCUGACAGGGCAGAACAGUGAGGGGUUUAUCUCAGACAUCUUUUAUUAGGGCCCUAAUUCCACCUGUGAGGUCUCCAUCCUCCCUAAUCAGCUCCCAAGGACCCACCAUAUAAUAGCAUCACUGGAGUUUAGGACUGCAUAAUUCGAAUUUUGUAGAUCCUCAAACAUUCAAAACCUAAAGUCUUUAAAGCUGCAAGCCUGGCAUCUGGAAUUAAGAGUAGAGUGUUGGUGAGUCAAAAAGAAGAAUGAGCAGGGUGGCAGGAAAAAGGGAAGACCAAGGACUCAGAAUCCAAACUCUUGAUUUUUGACCUGAACUAAUGCUCCCAUUAUUAUGUUGCAGAUUUUGUGUAUCAACCUGAAAUGGAGUCCACCAUCCCAUGGAAGAGGAUGAAAAUAUAGGAGGCAAAUGAUUUUUCAUCUUUUUUGUGAGGAGUCUCCAAAGAAUUUCAGGAUAAAGGUAGUAACAGCCUCAUUUAUAGAACCACCAAGAGUAACUGGGUAAAUGUCUGGUUGCUGUGAGCUGUGUGAAUCAUGGCGAGUCUGAGUUUAGAUACAUGGCUUUAUCUGACACCAAGCUAUUUAUUUUCUAUUAUGACAUAGUAGAGGGCAAAUUAGAGAUGAAGCCAUCCUUGGGCAUUUAAUAUGGUCACAGAGGUGAAUAAAGCAAAUGCUAAACCUCUUCUUUAGGAGCA
This 2697-nucleotide long non-coding RNA is filed under the name Sus scrofa (pig). RNAcentral's name for it is "lncRNA (ENSSSCG00065018304.1)". Lineage: Eukaryota; Metazoa; Chordata; Mammalia; Artiodactyla; Suidae. The record is from RNAcentral.